GGGACGGUCGCGCGGAUCUUCAGAGAUUAGAGUUUGAUCCUGGCUCAGAUUGAACGCUGGCGGCAUGCUUUACACAUGCAAGUCGAACGGCAGCACGGGGGCAACCCUGGUGGCGAGUGGCGAACGGGUGAGUAAUGCAUCGGAACGUACCCAGUCGUGGGGGAUAACGCAGCGAAAGUUGUGCUAAUACCGCAUACGACCUGAGGGUGAAAGCGGGGGACCGUAAGGCCUCGCGCGAUUGGAGCGGCCGAUGUCUGAUUAGCUAGUUGGUGGGGUAAAGGCCCACCAAGGCGACGAUCAGUAGCGGGUCUGAGAGGAUGAUCCGCCACACUGGGACUGAGACACGGCCCAGACUCCUACGGGAGGCAGCAGUGGGGAAUUUUGGACAAUGGGGGCAACCCUGAUCCAGCCAUGCCGCGUGCGGGAAGAAGGCCUUCGGGUUGUAAACCGCUUUCAGACGGAAAGAAAUCGCAUGGACUAAUACUCUGUGUGGAUGACGGUACCGUAAGAAGAAGCACCGGCUAACUACGUGCCAGCAGCCGCGGUAAUACGUAGGGUGCGAGCGUUAAUCGGAAUUACUGGGCGUAAAGCGUGCGCAGGCGGUUUCUUAAGCCAGACGUGAAAUCCCCGGGCUUAACCUGGGAACUGCGUUUGGAACUGGGAGACUAGAGUGUGUCAGAGGGAGGUGGAAUUCCGCGUGUAGCAGUGAAAUGCGUAGAUAUGCGGAGGAACACCGAUGGCGAAGGCGGCCUCCUGGGAUAACACUGACGCUCAUGCACGAAAGCGUGGGGGAGCAAACAGGAUUAGAUACCCUGGUAGUCCACGCCCUAAACGAUGUCAACUGGCUGUUGGGAGAGAAAUCUUUCAGUAGCGAAGCUAACGCGUGAAGUUGACCGCCUGGGGAGUACGGGCCGCAAGGUUGAAACUCAAAGGAAUUGACGGGGGCCCGCACAAGCGGUGGAUGAUGUGAUUAAUUCGAUGCAACGCGAAGAACCUUACCUACCCUUUGACAUGCCAGGAAUCCCGGAGAGAUCUGGGGGUGCCCGAAAGAA
This 1052-nucleotide ribosomal RNA is filed under the name uncultured bacterium. Its description in RNAcentral is "bacterial SSU rRNA". It matches the Rfam family "Bacterial small subunit ribosomal RNA", at positions 1 to 1026 of the family's 1533-position model. The record is from RNAcentral.